UCUGGUGCCAAUGGCAAAGAGGUCACACCUGUUCCCAUGCCGAACACAGAAGUUAAGCUCUUUAGCGCCGAUGGUAGUCGGACUUAUGUUCCGCGAGAGUAGGACGGUGCCAGGU
This 115-nucleotide ribosomal RNA is filed under the name Staphylococcus pseudintermedius. Lineage: Bacteria; Bacillati; Bacillota; Bacilli; Caryophanales; Staphylococcaceae. The record is from RNAcentral.